UGGGGAAUAUUGCACAAUGGGCGCAAGCCUGAUGCAGCCAUGCCGCGUGUAUGAAGAAGGCCUUCGGGUUGUAAAGUACUUUCAGCGGGGAGGAAGGGAGAAAAGUUAAUACCUUUGCUCAUUGACGUUACCCGCAGAAGAAGCACCGGCUAACUCCGUGCCAGCAGCCGCGGUAAUACGGAGGGUGCAAGCGUUAAUCGGAAUUACUGGGCGUAAAGCGCACGCAGGCGGUUGAUUGAGUCAGAUGUGAAAUCCCCGGGCUUAACCCGGGAAUUGCAUCUGAUACUGGUCAGCUAGAGUCUUGUAGAGGGGGGUAGAAUUCCAUGUGUAGCGGUGAAAUGCGUAGAGAUGUGGAGGAAUACCGGUGGCGAAGGCGGCCCCCUGGACAAAGACUGACGCUCAGGUGCGAAAGCGUGGGGAGCAAACAGG
RNAcentral lists this ribosomal RNA (429 nucleotides) under Chloroflexota bacterium. RNAcentral's name for it is "Chloroflexi bacterium partial 16S ribosomal RNA". It matches the Rfam family "Bacterial small subunit ribosomal RNA", at positions 355 to 776 of the family's 1533-position model. Lineage: Bacteria; Bacillati; Chloroflexota. The record is from RNAcentral.